Long non-coding RNA from Coregonus clupeaformis (lake whitefish), 188 nucleotides. RefSeq lists it as uncharacterized. The record is from RefSeq and is a predicted model, not a curated record. The transcript has 3 exons. Lineage: Eukaryota; Metazoa; Chordata; Actinopteri; Salmoniformes; Salmonidae.
AUAAGGAGGCUGAAGCCCCAGCAUCCAUAAGUCAGAUACCUUCUUCCUCUGUGGGUCCUCCAAGAAGUACACAUUCAUCUGUAGAAGGGGAAAAAGAAGUGAUCCGUCACCAUGAGUACGGACGCUGAGAUGCAAAUCUACGGCAAGGCUGCCAUAUACCUCCGUAAGCCUGAGAGGGAGAGGAUUGA